AGUCUGGGGCCCAUCGUCCCAAGAUGCGGAGCUGACUUUAAGGAUAGGGAGGGAGAGCCCGAGAACUAAGGGGCAAGAAGGGGACUAUGCUGCACUGAGGAUUGAGGGUGGUCGCUCACCCAGGCAGGUAGUUCUCGAUGGCUCAUGUAAAGAGUUUUCGUCGUGAGCCUCUCCUCAUCAUCCAGCAGCUGUCGCGCUACUCGAAGGCUCCGUUCUUUCUCCUCGCGGACCCGGCGCCAGCCCAGGUAGAGGGCGAGGCCGAAGAGCACAAAACCCACGCUGAGUCCUAUUGCCCCGGCCAGGUACACCGGCACCAGCACCAGCAACCGCCGCCCGAACGAAGUCAGCACCGCCAAGGCCUCACCCGCGGCGCCUGGGCCGGCAGUUUGCAGAACUGUGUAAGGAACAGUUUUCCAUCUGCCUCCUAUGUUCUCUGUAUUCUCAGAGAUGAGCAGGUAAAAAAGGAGCUCAAGGAGUUUGGAGGAGAUCAUCAGAUCCUCCUACUGAAGACAGUGUAUGGAGGACAAAAGCUCAUCCCCAGGAAGGUCUCUUCCCAGCUGGGGCCCAGGAGCCACAGAAUCAGCAGCUGCAAGGCACCGGAACAAGUAAACAAGAUGGGUCCCCGCCCAUUGACAAUUCUGCUGCCCAGGUGCCACCUGGUGGUGAUAAGCAGUAAGUGGGUAACAUGAAAAAGGAUGGCCAUUUGUUAGAGGAAGUGUCUCAGCGAGGAGAGCACUUAGACUUCCUGGUUUUGCAAUCUGCAUUUAUAUGUAAACUACAGCUGCCUCCCAGGGUUGGAUGUGGUAAUCUGGUCCCAGCCUACUCUCCAAGAUGGAAGGGGCAACGGGAUUUGAGGAAACUUCCUCUGUAUUAUUCCUUGUAAGUUACUGGAAAGUAGUGGUUCCAUUGCUGGAUGGCUAUCAUUAGAACUUUCUUAUGCCGAGUCUGGAGUCAGACUGCCUGAAGAGAUUCCUAGUUCCAUUCCUUACUAGUUGUGGAGACUUGGGUUGAUUACCCUCUUUAAGUCUUUCUCCUCUGCAAAACAAGUAUAAUAAUAAUGCCCAUUGUGUCAGUGAAAUAUUGCAUGUAAAGUGCCUAACACAGUACCUUGGUUUAUAUUAAGUACUCACAUGUUAGCAAUUUUUCUAGAACUCUCUGCUUAUUUCCUAUGCAGCAACACAGGACCUUUUUCUCCAUAAGGUAGCCCUUCAUAUAUCUGAAGACAUCUAUUUGGUCAACCCUCAGUCUUCUCUUGCCAGUUUUUUUCAGAUACCCCACUGGUUUGCCAAUGGCCCUCUGCAAAAACUAUUUAGAAGAACACACAAUACUUCAGAACUGGUUCCACUCAGAUAGACGUGGUAGAACUACUAUAUUUACAAUGCAGCACUAUGGUUCUUUUACCCUUAUGGAGUUUCUAGAAAGGUACCUAGAACAUAGCAGCCUCUUGAUAUUUAUUAACUGACAUAUUAUGAAGAAUAAGAUUUUAAUUUUUUGCAGCCAAUUGGAAGUCCCAUGUUGUUCUCACAUGAAUUAUUGCUAAUAUAGAUCUCUGCAUUUGUUUCUCAGAUAGGCUCAAGCAAUUUUUAGAGGGAAGGUCGGUCAGUCCAAAUUGACCCUUUGUAUUAAUUUAGUCAAUACAAGUUACAGACACUUUCCAUAUUACUUAGUGUUUCCUUGUGUUACUGUUGGUAACUGGGCUUUUCAUAUUUUUAUACAAUUAAAAAAAAAAAACCAUAGCCCUUGGGUAUAUCACUAGAGACUAGGGAUUUCUCUAACAUGAAUGUACUAGUCAACAUUUACUAGGCACAAAUGUUCAGUUUUGAUUCCAUCAAACUCUACUGUUAACUGACCCAUAAUUAUUCUCUUAUCUGCAAUGACUUAGCAGGUGAGAAAGAGGAAAGCAGUUCCUGACAUCUGGGAGCUGGCCUGACACAGCUAGGCUUUGGAAUUAUUAGGAUCUGACCUGGGCUCACAGGUACUGUUGGACACAAUCUCACAAAACACCAAUAUCAGACAAGACUACUCAGUGACUGUGAUGAAGUGAGGCAAAAAACAAGAUCACUUCACAAUUUUGUUUAAGCACUAGACAAGGUCAGUGUGCAAACCACAAAACACCAAACAUCCCCCUCUCCCAGCUAAUGCAGCUUCAGCUUCACUUUAGUCUGCCCUUUUUCUAGAGAAGAUAAAGAUAUGCAAUUAUAAAAUUUUCCCUGCUUCCCUGACAGCACUCAAUUUAGAGUGAAGCUCCACUUCCUUGAACCUUCCCCCGACUCACUUAAUGAAGUUCAAGUCCUGUAGGGUCCUUCCUAACACCCUCUUGCAAGACACACCGUGGUUCCAAAUGGCAUCCUCUCUCCAUCACUGCAAUGAGCAUUAAACCCAACUUGUUCAAUUGCAGGUGUAUUCCUGGUGGUCUUUAGCUGGAGCACGUUAAUAAAGUACAUACGACAUCUACAGUUUCCCAAAUCUAUCUCUUUAGAGAUACUUGGCAAAAAAAUAAUAAAGUUAGCUUGUCAGGGUUUGGCUAGGAUGAAUUCAUGUUGAUAUCUAUGAUCACAUUUGUCUAAAUGCUCAUAAACCAUCUCUUUUAAUAAACCAGAAUUGUGCCAGAAAAUCAACAUCAGGCUUAUCAAUAUGUGGUUUUUAGAAUCCACAAACAAUAUUUCAGUAUUUGCCCAUUUUUAGUCUUUCGUGCUGCAGCACCGCCCCCCCCCCCCUUUUUUUUAAAUGACUGGCCUUAACCUAGCCCACCAUCUCCAACCCCAGGUGUAACCUGAGUGAUCAACCAGACAAGAGAGCAAGAGGUAGCAGCAGAUAUCAUGGGGAAAGAACAAACCAGGAUCACUCUCUCUACCCCCAAAUCCACUGUCCCAUAGACACUUGAGUUGUUUCCCCUCCAUCAGCCAUGAGCUGAGGAGGAACUGAGGUUUGGCUACUGAGACCCUUGGCCUUACUGACUCUUAAUUGGAUUUAAAACCUCUGUGGUUCUAUGUGGAGGCAGAGGGAAGAAAGGGACGAACCCUGAGGCUUGUGUCCCCAGAAGAACUCUCCUUUCCCCAGCACCUCUUAAGCCUUGAAGGCUUAAGGCACUGGUGACUGAGGAAGGGAUGGGGUAGGAGUUACAUCAACUGCUGUCAACUCAGAGAGCAACUGCCACCUGCCCUGCUCUGUUUGAAUAAGGGAAGGAUCUGUCGAUACAUAUCCCAUUCCCAUGUCCCAGCACAUCCACCCUUCUUAGUACCUGCCCCCUAAAUGACCCUAGGAGCCCUGGUUACUAAGGCAACCUGUGAAUAGUUCCUGCAGAUAGAAACCAAAACAGAUGGGACUAUUUUUAAACAAGACUAGGUGGCUCCAAUGUUUUUACCUCACAACAUACCUUCCCCAAAGCCCCAUCUGAUCUUGUUCUGGGUCCCUACCCUUCUUCACUGGCCUCCAUCCAUCCUUACCACUAUGUGAGAGUGGGGUCUUUAUUUCAUUUUGGCAGGAGAUCAAUUUACUGCUCCCAUCUUCCACACAGAAUAUCUAAGCAAGUUUUCACUGCCUCCAUUUGUUAAAAAUAUAUUUUUUUAUUUCUUUGGAACGUGGUGGGCCCUGCCCUAUGGAUGUCCAGGCCAAGCCAAGGUAAUGAAUGCUCCCCUAGUCUUUGGGCUGGAGUACUAUGGUCCCCGCCUUCCCAUGGGCCCAGGAGCAGUUCCUGUAUUGUCCAACUCAGCUAGGCCCCAAAUUGUCUGAAGGCUCCUAUCAGGCCUUCUCUCCUGGCCACCCACUUCCCAAUCUUUCCUGGCUUCCCCUCUGGGCAGGGUAUUUUUUUCUUCCAAAGCCAGUGCUGGAACCUGUGCUGUGCAGAAGAGAGGACAAGACCAACGAUGUCCCCCAAAUUCCCAUCAGAGAACACACAACCCCUCAGUCAGUCCUUCCUCUGCUGGCUUCAGUCUGCAUUCCUAUGCAAGCCCCCUCUGUGAGGCUAGAAGAUGGACAAGAGGACCCUCAUAAAAGGGAGCAGUACCUCGUUGGUGGCCAGAAGGUUGCUGACCUGCUUCUUUAGCUCCUCUACCCGCUUCCUGAGCAUGGCAUUCUCUUCCUCUAGUAGCCUGCACUCCACCCCUCGGGGUGGAGCCAGGCUGUAUUCAUAUGAUUCAAAAUGGGGGCCAUCUGGAGGGCAGCAUCCACCUCGCCGGCGCUUGGGGCCUGGCUCAUGGUCCUCAAAGCCCCUGUCAGGGAGGUCGUAGAUAUCAUAGAGGUCAUGACGUCGUCCUGGGGGAACUGGGCCUGUUGAGCCCCCACCACCAGCACCUCCUCCACCUCGGGCAUCAAACUCAAAAUCCCGCUGCAGGUGACGGAACUUGCACUUGGCGCCUCUCUGGCAAUCACCCUUGAGAAAGUCACGGCAGAUAGGGACCUCCUCCUUCCCAUUUGGUAGGUCAGCUGGUGAAAGGCCCAGGCCGGCUGCCACUUUCUGCCUCAGCCGAGGGGGCAGUUCUCCUGUCUUCUUAUAGCCAUCCUCAUCCUCCUUGGAGCCAUGGAUGAAUCGGCAGUUUGGGCGGCUACACUCCUUGUUCUGGAAGUCAUGGCAGAAGAUGAACUCGUUUUUGCUCACCCCCAAGUUGGACACCUCACUCAUGUCCGGAUGGCGAUAGCGGCAACGCUUGCCUCGCUUGCACACAUUCCUCAGGAAGUCUCUACAGAUAGCAUCUGAGCUGGCCCCGCCACUGCCUGCCCCUGUCCCACUGGCCUCCUCGCUGCCACCGCCUCCAGGGCCUCCACCGCUGCUCCCAGUGCCGUUGGCAUAGCUGUCCCGGUCAGGCAUCCUGGUCCCCCCCAACUCAGGGCUUUCUUCCUUUUCUUGCCACCCUUGGUGACUGCUAGGAAAGAGGAGAGCUGUGUCAAACAGGAGUCCUCCAGUGAGGCCAAACUCUUGCUGACUGUACGGCAGGCAGUCCAGCAAGAGGCAGGCCAGAGGCAUAAUGGCUCUGGAGAUGGAGAAUCUAACAGAUGAGAAUUCUGCCUGGACUGGCUGGCUUGUCAGAAGUCUUGCCCAGGCCCUGUGCACCUGGUCUAGGUCAGAAUGAUUCACACUUGCCUGGCUGUCGGAGGGAGGGAGCUGGGGUGAAGCUACCUCAUCUCACUAAUGGUGAUAUGCCAAGGAGAGAGCAGGGAGAGA
Molecule: long non-coding RNA, 5161 nt
Organism: Globicephala melas (long-finned pilot whale)
Lineage: Eukaryota; Metazoa; Chordata; Mammalia; Artiodactyla; Delphinidae
Source: RefSeq, a predicted model, not a curated record